Solanum lycopersicum (tomato) is the source of this 346-nucleotide non-coding RNA. The record is from RefSeq and is a predicted model, not a curated record. Lineage: Eukaryota; Viridiplantae; Streptophyta; Magnoliopsida; Solanales; Solanaceae.
GUUUUCGAACAACAUUAUUAGGUAAUUUAAUCAGCAUCUUUUCUCAGGAUUCAUCAUGUUGAAAGUGCUGGACUUGUAUUGAUCAAUCUCGUUGAUUUUAUCUCGUUAAGCAAAUAAUGAGUAACUUUUGGAGAAUCAGGCACAUAUCUGACAACAUUUUUGAAGGGUCCGAGCAACAUAGGUAAUGCUCACAUUCUUGACACCACCACUGUCAUUGACAACAACGACAUCCAGUGGUGAGUCCUUGCGUCCAUGCCAACAACGAAGGAAGUUCCUGCCAAUUCUUCCGAAACCAUUGAUGGCAACCUUCAAUUUGGCAACUGUUUCUCCUUUCACUGGUCCUGCU